AUCCCAGACAAACUCUUUUUUGUGGUUUUCUGAUUCAUGGGAGGCAGAUAUUAAUUGGUUAUUCGCUGAUAGCAUAUCUUCUCUCAGAAAGGAUAUGCUUCUAGUACAUAACCACAAAUUU
This is a small nucleolar RNA of Cucurbita pepo subsp. pepo (vegetable marrow), 121 nucleotides long. The record is from RefSeq and is a predicted model, not a curated record. Lineage: Eukaryota; Viridiplantae; Streptophyta; Magnoliopsida; Cucurbitales; Cucurbitaceae.